GUUGACCUCGGAUCAGGUAGGACUACCCGCUGAACUUAAGCAUAUCAAUAAGCGGAGGAAAAGAAACCAACAGGGAUUGCCCUAGUAACGGCGAGUGAAGCGGCAGCAGCUCAAAUUUGAAAUCUGGCUCCCCCCCGCGGGGUGCCCGAGUUGUAAUUUGCAGAGGAUGCCUCUGGCGCGGCGCCUUCCGAGUUCCCUGGAACGGGACGCCAUAGAGGGUGAGAGCCCCGUAUGGUCGGCAGCCAAGCCUCUGUGAGGCUCCUUCGACGAGUCGAGUAGUUUGGGAAUGCUGCUCAAAAUGGGAGGUAUAUGUCUUCUAAAGCUAAAUACCGGCCAGAGACCGAUAGCGCACAAGUAGAGUGAUCGAAAGAUGAAAAGCACUUUGAAAAGAGGGUUAAACAGUACGUGAAAUUGUUGAAAGGGAAGCGCUCGCGACCAGACUCGGGCCCGGCGGAUCAUCCGGCGUUCUUCGCCGGUGCACUCCGCCGGCGCCCGGGCCAGCAUCGGCUCGGCCGCGGGGGAUAAAGGCGGCGGGAACGUGGCCCCUCCGGGGGUGUUAUAGCCCGCCGCGCAAUGCCCCGCGCCGGGCCGAGGACCGCGCCCCAGGGCAAGGAUGCUGGCGUAAUGGUCGCUAGCGACCCGUCUUGAAACACGGACCAAGGAGUCGUCUUCGUAUGCGAGUGUUCGGGUGUCAAACCCCUACGCGCAAUGAAAGUGAACGCGGGUGAGAGCCCUCGCGGGCGCAUCACCGACCGAUCCUGAUGUUCUCGGAUGGAUUUGAGUAAGAGCAUACGGGGCCGGACCCGAAAGAAGGUGAACUAUGCCUGUGUAGGGUGAAGCCAGAGGAAACUCUGGUGGAGGCUCGCAGCGGUUCUGACGUGCAAAUCGAUCGUCAAACAUGGGCAUGGGGGCGAAAGACUAAUCGAACCUUCUAGUAGCUGGUUCCCGCCGAAGUUUCCCUCAGGAUAGCAGUGCCGAU
Molecule: ribosomal RNA, 979 nt
Filed under: Cordyceps sp. 97003
Lineage: Eukaryota; Fungi; Ascomycota; Sordariomycetes; Hypocreales; Cordycipitaceae
Description: eukaryotic LSU rRNA
Rfam family: Eukaryotic large subunit ribosomal RNA
Source: RNAcentral